GGACUACAGGGGUUUCUAAUCCUGUUUGAUCCCCUUGCUUUCGCGCCUCAGCGUCAGGAAUAAGAUAGAAAACCGCCUUCGCCACCGGUGUUCUUCCACAUAUCUACGCAUUUCACCGCUACUUGUGGAAUUCCAUUUUCUCCUCCUACCCUCUAGAAAGACAGUCUCAGAUGCAGCACCGAGGUUGAGCCUCGGUAUUUCACACCUGACUUGAAUUUCCGCCUACGCGCCCUUUACGCCCAAUAAUUCCGAUUAAUGCUUGCACCCUCCGUAUUACCGCGGCUGCUGGCAC
RNAcentral lists this ribosomal RNA (292 nucleotides) under uncultured bacterium. RNAcentral describes it as "partial 16S ribosomal RNA". The record is from RNAcentral.